This 236-nucleotide non-coding RNA is filed under the name Priestia endophytica. RNAcentral describes it as "Bacillus endophyticus T-box sequence". It matches the Rfam family "T-box leader". From Rfam's summary of the family: Uncharged tRNA acts as the effector for transcription antitermination of genes in the T-box leader family. Lineage: Bacteria; Bacillati; Bacillota; Bacilli; Caryophanales; Bacillaceae. The record is from RNAcentral.
AUAUUGCCGUUGAUGGAGAAAAGUAGCUAUAAUCCCACAAGAAAAGAGAGAAAAUGCCUUGGGCUGAAAGCAUUUUUACUUGCUGUAUAGUGAACGAACACUUCUGAGGUUUCACUUUGAAAAGAGUUAUUCUUAGUAGGAGAUGAACGCAUAAUUUUUGCGUUAUAAAAUAGAGUGGGAGCCUAAUGAUGCGGCUUCAACUAGGGUGGUACCACGAAAAUACUUUCGUCCCUACA